UACAGAGGUCCCAAGCGUUGUUCGGAUUCAUUGGGCGUAAAGGGUGCGUAGGUGGCGCCGUAAGUCGGGUGUGAAAUUUCGGAGCUUAACUCCGAAACUGCAUUCGAUACUGCGGUGCUUGAGGACUGGAGAGGAGACUGGAAUUCCCGGUGUAGCGGUGAAAUGCGCAGAUAUCGGGAGGAACACCAAUUGCGAAGGCAGCUUGCUGGGACGGUACUGACGCUGAGGCGCGAAGGCCAGGGGAGCAAACGGG
This 253-nucleotide ribosomal RNA is filed under the name uncultured bacterium. RNAcentral describes it as "partial 16S ribosomal RNA". It matches the Rfam family "Bacterial small subunit ribosomal RNA", at positions 524 to 776 of the family's 1533-position model. The record is from RNAcentral.